AUUGAACGCUGGCGGCAUGCCUUACACAUGCAAGUCGAACGGCAGCACGGGAGCAAUCCUGGUGGCGAGUGGCGAACGGGUGAGUAAUAUAUCGGAACGUGCCCAGUCGUGGGGAUAACGUAGCGAAAGCUACGCUAAUACCGCAUACGAUCUAAGGAUGAAAGCGGGGGAUCGCAAGACCUCGCGCGAUUGGAGCGGCCGAUAUCAGAUUAGCUAGUUGGUGAGGUAAAGGCUCACCAAGGCGACGAUCCGUAACUGGUCUGAGAGGAUGAUCAGUCACACUGGAACUGAGACACGGUCCAGACUCCUACGGGAGGCAGCAGUGGGGAAUAUUGGACAAUGGGCGAAAGCCUGAUCCAGCCAUGCCGCGUGUGUGAAGAAGGUCUUCGGAUUGUAAAGCACUUUAAGUUGGGAGGAAGGGUAGUAACCUAAUACGUUGCUACUUUGACGUUACCGACAGAAUAAGC
Molecule: ribosomal RNA, 467 nt
Filed under: uncultured bacterium
Lineage: Bacteria
Description: bacterial SSU rRNA
Rfam family: Bacterial small subunit ribosomal RNA
Source: RNAcentral